RNAcentral lists this ribosomal RNA (858 nucleotides) under uncultured bacterium. RNAcentral's name for it is "bacterial SSU rRNA". It matches the Rfam family "Bacterial small subunit ribosomal RNA", at positions 59 to 933 of the family's 1533-position model. The record is from RNAcentral.
CAGUCGAACGAUGAAGUCCUAGCUUGCUAGGAUGGAUUAGUGGCGCACGGGUGAGUAAUAUAUAGUUAAUCUGCCCUACACAGAGGAACAACAGUUGGAAACGACUGCUAAUACCUCAUACUCCUAUUUGGCAUAAGUUAAAUAGGGAAAGUCUUUUCGGUGUAGGAUGAGACUAUAUCGUAUCAGCUAGUUGGUAAGGUAAUGGCUUACCAAGGCUAUGACGCGUAACUGGUCUGAGAGGACGAUCAGUCACAUUGGAACUGAGACACGGUCCAAACUCCUACGGGAGGCAGCAGUAAGGAAUAUUGCGCAAUGGGGGAAACCCUGACGCAGCAACGCCGCGUGGAGGAUGACACUUUUCGGAGCGUAAACUCCUUUUAUCAGGAAAGAAUAAUGACGGUACCUGAUGAAUAAGCACCGGCUAACUCCGUGCCAGCAGCCGCGGUAAUACGGGGGGUGCAAGCGUUACUCGGAAUCACUGGGCGUAAAGGACGCGUAGGCGGAUUAUCAAGUCUUUUGUGAAAUCUAGUGGCUUAACCACUAAACUGCUUAGGAAACUGAUAGUCUAGAGUAGGGGAGAGGUAGAUGGAAUUCUUGGUGUAGGGGUAAAAUCCGUAGAGAUCAAGAAGAAUACCCAUUACGAAAGCGAUCUGCUGGAACCUAACUGACGCUGAGGCGUGAAAGCGUGGGUAGCAAACAGGAUUAGAUACCCUGGUAGUCCACGCCCUAAACGAUGUAUACUAGUUGUUGCUUUGCUAGUCAAGGCAGUAAUGCAGCUAACGCAUUAAGUAUACCGCCUGGGGAGUACGGUCGCAAGAUUAAAACUCAAAGGAAUAGACGGGGACCCGCACAAGCGGU